CAGCCGUAAACUAUGCUCGUUAGGUGUCAGGCAUGGCGCGACCGUGUCUGGUGCCGCAGGGAAGCCGUGAAGUGAGCCACCUGGGAAGUACGGCCGCAAGGCUGAAACUUAAAGGAAUUGGCGGGGGAGCACAACAACGGGUGGAGCCUGCGGUUUAAUUGGACUCAACGCCGGGAAGCUCACCGGAUAAGACAGCGGAAUGAUUGCCGGGCUGAAGACUCUGCAUGACUAGCUGAGAGGAGGUGCAUGGCGUAGACGUCU
This 261-nucleotide ribosomal RNA is filed under the name uncultured archaeon. RNAcentral describes it as "partial 16S ribosomal RNA". It matches the Rfam family "Archaeal small subunit ribosomal RNA", at positions 748 to 1009 of the family's 1478-position model. The record is from RNAcentral.